Molecule: ribosomal RNA, 574 nt
Filed under: uncultured bacterium
Lineage: Bacteria
Description: bacterial SSU rRNA
Rfam family: Bacterial small subunit ribosomal RNA
Source: RNAcentral
UCCUACGGGAGGCAGCAGUGGGGAAUAUUGGACAAUGGGCGAAAGCCUGAUCCAGCAAUGCCGCGUGUGUGAAGAAGGCCUGCGGGUUGUAAAGCACUUUCAGCAGUGAGGAAAGGCUUACAGUUAAUACCUGUUAGAGUUGACGUUAACUGCAGAAGAAGCACCGGCUAACUCUGUGCCAGCAGCCGCGGUAAUACAGAGGGUGCGAGCGUUAAUCGGAAUUAUUGGGCGUAAAGGGUGCGUAGGUGGUUAGAUAAGUUAGAUGUGAAAGCCCUGGGCUUAACCUGGGAAUUGCGUUUGAUACUGUCUGGCUAGAGUACUGUAGAGGGAAGUAGAAUUUCCGGUGUAGCGGUGAAAUGCGUAGAUAUCGGAAGGAAUACCAGUGGCGAAGGCGACUUCCUGGACAGAUACUGACACUGAGGCACGAAAGCGUGGGGAGCAAACAGGAUUAGAUACCCUGGUAGUCCACGCCGUAAACGAUGAGAACUUGCUGUUGGGCGCUUUGUGCGCUUGGUAGCGUAGCUAACGCGAUAAGUUCUCCGCCUGGGGAGUACGGCCGCAAGGCUAAAACUCA